AUUGAACGCUGGCGGCAGGCCUAACACAUGCAAGUCGAAUGGUAACAGGAAACAGCUUGCUGUUUCGCUGACGAGUGGCGGACGGGUGAGUAAUGUCUGGGAAACUGCCUGAUGGAGGGGGAUAACUACUGGAAACGGUAGCUAAUACCGCAUAACGUCGAAAGACCAAAGAGGGGGACCUUCGGGCCUCUUGCCAUCAGAUGUGCCCAGAUGGGAUUAGCUAGUAGGUGGGGUAACGGCUCACCUAGGCGACGAUCCCUAGCUGGUCUGAGAGGAUGACCAGCCACACUGGAACUGAGACACGGUCCAGACUCCUACGGGAGGCAGCAGUGGGGAAUAUUGCACAAUGGGCGCAAGCCUGAUGCAGCCAUGCCGCGUGUAUGAAGAAGGCCUUCGGGUUGUAAAGUACUUUCAGCGGGGAGGAAGGGAGUAAAGUUAAUACCUUUGCUCAUUGACGUUACCCGCAGAAGAAGCACCGGCUAACUCCGUG
This 490-nucleotide ribosomal RNA is filed under the name uncultured bacterium. Its description in RNAcentral is "partial 16S ribosomal RNA". It matches the Rfam family "Bacterial small subunit ribosomal RNA", at positions 30 to 507 of the family's 1533-position model. The record is from RNAcentral.